UACUAAAAUUUAACCAACUAUCGUGAUCUGAUAAUACAGAGAAAUUUCAUGAUAACUCCCAAAAAAAUGCAACACUGGGGUUCAUCUCUCAACUGAGUUCAUUUUAUCUAUAUGUCAAGCAGAAGCAUUAUAAUAUUUUGCAAAGAUUACGAGAGGCCUUUUCUAUUUAACUCUUGAAGUGGAAACAUCACCAUUUUAUAAAACAGAUCGAAGACUAUUUUGUGUCUAAAAGUGAGUUACACCAUCAUCUUACCAGGACCACGUGGAACGCUCAAGUUGGUUCGCCACGAUCAGCGAAUCUGGCCUUUGCAUUUCAUCACCAGCUCUAUAAAGCUCUUCAGAAUCCAUACUGUUGCAACAUUUCAUCGUGGAUUCGGAGAAAUUCAUCUAUUACGUGUGAAAAUGGUCAGACACCUCGUUAAAAUACUUGGUGAUCACCAUUUAAUACAAUAAUACAACUUUCUGGACAACUACAGUUGCAAUAUUGUCCUCUUUGAAGAUUAAGGCAGAAGUAUGGCCUAAAUUAAUAAGAAAAAUAACUUUCGUCUUGAUUAAUUGGCUAUUUAUGCCAAAAAUUUAUGAGCGUGUAGUGAAUAUUUGACUAAUGGUAUUAAUUCAAAGAAAAUUAUAAUAUGUGAAUUAUCCUUUAAAACGUAAAAAGUAAACCUAAAUGAAGUUAUAGAUGUGUAACGUACACGUAUUAUUUAAAUAUAAGUUUUUUUAUAAUUAAAGCUUGGUAAAGAGAUUAAGAAUUUUUCAAUAAUAAUAAUACUAAUUUAAUUAUGCUAUAGAAAAAGAAAACACACGUGUAUGGCAACUUAAUGCAUUCAGGCUGCUUCAACAUUAUUGCUGAUCUUCGUGAAGGCCUUCGACGAUCAUCAUGCCAUAAGUGGAAAAUGUAAGUGCACUUCUAUAAUAUUUAUACGAAUUAUUAUACCAAUUUUUUUUCAUAUACGUUUUGUAUUAAUCUUUUGUAUGAGAGAAUUGAAUUUUAUUACCUUACAGUAAUUACAUUCAUUGACUCUCCUGCUUGCUUAUUCGCAGCAGAGGAUGCUCACCGAUCGGCUGAUCUUUUAGUUUAGCUACACCGGCUCACCUCAUCUGUGAAGGAGCGGGUAGAGUAAAUAUGUAAGAGCACAACUGAUUUGCAAAUUACAGAGAGUGCCUAUGGUUGCCAUGCAUCUUAAGUAAAUUUCACCUGUACUGAAUUUCUAGUUAUUUUUUUUUAUUAGUUUUCUUUAACAUUACCCAUGUUAUUGUUUUUUUGUGUUAUUUUGAAACAGUACAUUUGCAUAAAUUAGUUUUCUUUUCUAGUAAUCUAAAGCUCAAAAUGUAUAUUUUUAAGAUGUUUUAUUGAAGUAGUCUACUUUGAAUUUUCCUAUAUUUUAUCUCCAUUUUGUACAUAAUAUUAAGAAUGUGAAUAAAUUUUUAAAUUUCAAAUAUGAA
Long non-coding RNA from Ceratitis capitata (Mediterranean fruit fly), 1446 nucleotides. RefSeq lists it as uncharacterized. NCBI's taxonomy places the organism in Eukaryota, Metazoa, Arthropoda, Insecta, Diptera, Tephritidae. The transcript is spliced from 2 exons. The record is from RefSeq and is a predicted model, not a curated record.